Molecule: RNA transcript, 913 nt
Organism: Hyposmocoma kahamanoa
Lineage: Eukaryota; Metazoa; Arthropoda; Insecta; Lepidoptera; Cosmopterigidae
Exons: 2
Source: RefSeq, a predicted model, not a curated record
GUAACCUAUUCGGCAUAGAUAUUGAGUUUCGUCCUAUGGAUUUGUCAAUGUUUAGAUCUGCACCAACCUCAUCCUCUAAUGCACCAACAAUCACCAAUCCAAAUGUGGCAAGAAAUCUUAAGUCAAGUCAAUGUAACAGAGGUCUAAUUGUCAAUAAGACAAUUGUGUCAAUAAAUUGAUCAUUAUUAUAUGUGGUGUCAAUGUAGUAAAAUGUAAAUGAACCGACUACUCAUAAAGACAAAUGCAAAUCUGCAAACCGAUCAUAAUGUGAAAUAAUAACAUCACCAUGAUUAACUUUUGCUGGCAGACACAUGGGAAUGGUAAACAUAGAUGUUUCGGGCAAUAGCACUUGAAAGAAGCUAUGAAGAAAAACCCUAAAGCAGGCCCGUCUCGGGUAUAACGUCGCUCUUGAACUUACAUAAGUUAUUAUAAUGUACGACCUAUACGUACCUAUAUGGAACGCUAUUUUGUGUGAGAGCCUCCCUGCGACUGCAAGUUUUGUCCAGUAAGACAUUGUCCCUAUGGAAAACCUGAAGAUGUGGUACCAAUUUCUAUGCCCAAACGAAAAUUAAAACCAAGGCCUAAACUAGCAGACGACGACGUAUGUAAGAAACAUCAGCCAAAGUAUGAAUGCGGCCUGCCUAAAAGGUCGCCAUUGCCGAAAUUUAAAAGGAAGAAGCCAAGUCUUCUCGAAAUGAUUGCUGAUAAGGACUGCGCGUGUGAGCUGAUCGCCCGAUCAGUCGGCGCCGGCGGUGUACACCAUCACAUCGGGUUAAGAGACCUACGCGAAACUAUCAACAUGAACGCCCAAAAAUCUACUAUAGAUGAGGAAUCCAUUGAAACAGCACCCGAAUUAACCGAAAAUAAAAGUAACCAUUAAAAUACACAACAUUUAUUUCCUCGCUAUACAGUC